AAUUCGAGAGGCUACAGAAUGGUAGCUGGUGGAGGAAUUCUAAAGGUGUUAUAUAGUGAUAGGGUUAUUCUGGAGGAAAGAAGAGGAUGAAAAAGAAUUACUAUCUGAUAGGGAUCCUAGUGUGAGGCAAAACUUUAGGAGCCAAGAGGAGUUCAAAGUGAGGUGGAGCUCCAGAUGGAGGUGGAUCAGAAACAAGACGUGAGACUCAGGAGGAUGAGAGGCGAUAUCGUAGAGUGAAAUUUCUAUUGCCAUAGGAGGACACCCCGAGCAGGUCUCAGGUCAGAAGGAGCACACAUAUGAUGGAGAUGGGAUCGUGCGGCCUAGCUCGACUCUCAUAUUUGUCCAUCCAUGAUCAGUAGGCAAUUAUCCUAGGGCAUAAGGGCAAGGAGAUCCAGAAGCA
This 400-nucleotide long non-coding RNA is filed under the name Elaeis guineensis (African oil palm). Its description in RNAcentral is "long non-coding RNA (EGUI_LNC047192)". The record is from RNAcentral. Lineage: Eukaryota; Viridiplantae; Streptophyta; Magnoliopsida; Arecales; Arecaceae.